GAAUAUUGGGCAAUGGAGGCAACUCUGACCCAGCCAUGCCGCGUGGGUGACGAAGGUCUUCGGAUUGUAAAGCCCUUUCGGCGGGGACGAUGAUGACGGUACCCGCAGGAGAAGCCCCGGCUAACUUCGUGCCGGCAGCCGCGGUAAUACGAAGGGGGCUAGCGUUGUUCGGAAUUACUGGGCGUAAAGGGCGUGUAGGCGGCCCGUUAAGACAGGUGUGAAAUUCCUGGGCUCAACCCAGGACGUGCGCCUGUGACUGGCGGGCUUGAGUCCGGGAGAGGAUGGUGGAACUCCCAGUGUAGAGGUGAAAUUCGUAGAUAUUGGGAAGAACACCCGUGGCGAAGGCGGCCAUCUGGACCGGUACUGACGCUAAGGCGCGACAGUGUGGGGAGCAAACAGG
This 400-nucleotide ribosomal RNA is filed under the name uncultured bacterium. RNAcentral's name for it is "bacterial SSU rRNA". It matches the Rfam family "Bacterial small subunit ribosomal RNA", at positions 359 to 776 of the family's 1533-position model. The record is from RNAcentral.